Molecule: long non-coding RNA, 363 nt
Filed under: Capsella rubella
Lineage: Eukaryota; Viridiplantae; Streptophyta; Magnoliopsida; Brassicales; Brassicaceae
Description: long non-coding RNA (CRUB_LNC004695)
Source: RNAcentral
UAAAAUAUGCAUGCUUACAUUGAUCAUCACCGUGAUCUAUCGGCGUAAGGAAGAGAUCGCAUAUGAAUCUUUUUAUCGUAAUUUUUCCGGUUGAAAUGUUUUAUUUACUUACCACGACGAUCAAAAUCAUACAUAUGAAUAUUUUCUAAUUGAACGUACGCAUCUUUUCUUUUGAAAGACUAAUUUCCAGUUCCAAUCGUCUCACAAGGAUAAUGGCUUUUAAACCCAAAAAAAAAAAAAAAAGGAUAAUGGAUUGCUUUGAUAGUUUUUUUUCCGGUCGCGACUUAUGAAACUAUCAUCUAUUGUUCUAACCAAAUCUGAUUUUAUGCUAUUAUUAUAAGCAUGUAUAAUAACAUGUAAAAU